UACGUAGGGUGCAAGCGUUGUCCGGAAUUAUUGGGCGUAAAGAGCUCGUAGGCGGUUUGUCGCGUCUGCCCGUGAAAGUCCGGGGCUCAACUCCGGAUCUGCGGUGGGUACGGGCAGACUAGAGUGAUGUAGGGGAGACUGGAAUUCCUGGUGUAGCGGUGAAAUGCGCAGAUAUCAGGAGGAACACCGAUGGCGAAGGCAGGUCUCUGGGCAUUAACUGACGCUGAGGAGCGAAAGCAUGGGGAGCGAACAGG
Molecule: ribosomal RNA, 254 nt
Filed under: uncultured bacterium
Lineage: Bacteria
Description: partial 16S ribosomal RNA
Rfam family: Bacterial small subunit ribosomal RNA
Source: RNAcentral